Molecule: ribosomal RNA, 495 nt
Filed under: uncultured bacterium
Lineage: Bacteria
Description: bacterial SSU rRNA
Rfam family: Bacterial small subunit ribosomal RNA
Source: RNAcentral
CCUUUUUUCCCUUNGGGGACCUGCACACAGGUGCUGCAUGGCUGUCGUCAGCUCGUGUCGUGAGAUGUUGGGUUAAGUCCCGCAACGAGCGCNACCCUCGAUCUUAGUUACCAUCAUUUAGUUGGGGACUCUAAGAUAACCGCCGGUGAUAAGCCGGAGGAAGGUGGGGAUGACGUCAAGUCCUCAUGGCCCUUACGCGCUGGGCUACACACGUGCUACAAUGGCAACUACAGUGGGUAGCGACCCUGCGAGGGCGAGCUAAUCCCCAAAAGUUGUCUCAGUUCGGAUUGUUCUCUGCAACUCGAGAGCAUGAAGGCGGAAUCGCUAGUAAUCGCGGAUCAGCAUGCCGCGGUGAAUACGUUCCCAGGCCUUGUACACACCGCCCGUCACACCAUGGGAGUUGGAUUCACCCGAAGGCGUUGCGCCAACCCGCAAGGGAAGCAGGCGACCACGGUGGGUUCAGCGACUGGGGUGAAGUCGUAACAAGGUAGCCGU